GUGUCAGCAGCCGCGGUAAGACAGAGGGUGCAAACGUUGCUCGGAAUUACUGGGCGUAAAGCGCGUGUAGGCGGGUCGGAAAGUCAGGUGUGAAAUCCCCGGGCUCAACUCGGGAACUGCACUUGAAACUUCCGAUCUCGAGUACCGGAGAGGGUAGUGGAAUUCCUGGUGUAGAGGUGAAAUUCGUAGAUAUCAGGAGGAACACCGGUGGCGAAGGCGGCUACCUGGACGGUCACUGACGCUGAGACGCGAAAGCGUGGGGAGCAAACAGGAUUAGAAACCCCUGUAGUCC
This 292-nucleotide ribosomal RNA is filed under the name uncultured bacterium. RNAcentral's name for it is "partial 16S ribosomal RNA". It matches the Rfam family "Bacterial small subunit ribosomal RNA", at positions 505 to 796 of the family's 1533-position model. The record is from RNAcentral.